CAAAUUGGCUUAUUCUAAGGAUGAGAACAGGUCUUUAGUCAAUUUUGCAUGUAAUUGUAAUGUGUCUAUGGUACAUUUAAAGAGACAUGUAGACAGUAGCAUUGACAGCUAUACCUUGUCCGUUGUACUUAGAUGUUAUGAAUUACAAUUUUUUAAUUUGAGUUCAUUAUAUUGUGCAGUGAAAACAUUCUGUUAGAGCAUACUUGUGUUGAAAUUAUACAUUUAGAUACUUGUGUUGAAGAAGCUUCUUUGCUCUUUCUUCUGUGGUGACUUAGAUACAAGAAGCUUCUAUGCUAGUGGCUUAUAUUUGAAACGCGGAGUGAAUGAAAAGGGUAGAGUAGCUAAUGAUGUUGAGACAGAACAGCAACUGGUUAAUUCUUGGGGUAUUAUUUUGAUAUUAUUAGAUCAAACACCUUUAGCAGCAAAGCUACAAAUGUGUUGGGACAACUGGGAAAAGUGGCUGCAUAUGUACUGAAGUUGACUGGCAUCUUCUAUUGUCCAGUGACAUCAAAUGUGAGGCUAGAUGGAUUUUCGCAUUAUUCCUACACCCAAGGAAAAAGAAAUCGAGGAAGUAUAGGACGGACCAGGGGCUAUACGCGGAGCUGAGCGAGGCGAUGGAGUGUUUGGAGCACAUAUGCUAUGAUGGGUGUACCCACGUUGAACCGUACGAUGCUGCGGAGGUGAAGAGGGAGAGGACUCCGUGUGGAAGAAUCGCCACGUGCCAGGCUCUUCAGGUUCUGAUCCGCCACUUUGCCACGUGCGAGAAGAAGGUGCGCGGCGGCUGCGUGCGGUGCAAGCGAAUGUUGCAGCUCUUUCGACUCCAUUCCUAUCUUUGUCACCACACCGAUUCAUCCUGCAAGGUUCCUUUUUUGCCGUCAAUGCACUAAAGAAGGGGCUAAGUUGUUUUGUGUUUCACAAAAAUAAUUUUAUUUAUUUAUACAAAUGGAGGGCCUUUUGAGAUUACUUCUUCUGCAUGGAACAAUUAGUUGAAUCAAUCUUGAAUAAGGUCGUGGAGGAGUUUGAGCAAUGCAUUGCCAGCCAGGGUGAACAGAGUUUAUAAACCUUGUCUCGUCAGAAUCCAGUGAAGUCUGUAAUAGAGAGGAUAAACGGACAAUUGCACCUGAGCAUGUAUUGAAGGCUCUAUAGGUAUUUGUCCAUCCUUUGCAUCUCUAAAGCUCUGCAUGUGGAUGUUGCCCACUUUGUAUCUUGACUCUUGGGUUUUAGGCCUUGAAUUAAUUAUGGGUUUCUUA
Glycine soja is the source of this 1250-nucleotide long non-coding RNA. RefSeq lists it as uncharacterized. The transcript has 5 exons. Lineage: Eukaryota; Viridiplantae; Streptophyta; Magnoliopsida; Fabales; Fabaceae. The record is from RefSeq and is a predicted model, not a curated record.